AGUGGUCUAUGCUCGUCUCAAAGAUUAAGCCAUGCAUGUCUAAGUUCACAACAAAAGUUGAAACUGCGAAGCGCUCAGUAAAUCAGUUAUUGUCCCUUCGAUCGUAGUACCACAUCGGAUAACUGUGGCAAAUCUAGAGCUAAUACGUGCGAAUAUUACUACCAAGUAGUAGCAUUUAUUAGUAUAAACAAAUUUAUUUGUAGGUGAAUCUAGAUAACUUUGCUUAUCAUCCAAUUGGAUGAUUGUUCGAUCGAAUUUCUGCCCUAUCAUUUUGUCGGUGAGGUAGUGGCCCACCGAGGAUGCAACGGGUAACGGGGAAUCAGGGUUCGAUUCCGGAGAGGGAGCCUGAGAAACGGCUACCACAUCCAAGGAAGGCAGCAGGCGCGCAAAUUACCCAAUCCAGACACUGGGAGGUAGUGACGAGAAAUACCGAAUCAAACUACAUGUUUGAUACCGGAACAUACUUGAUUUAAUAAAUCUCGUUUUUAUUGGAGGGCAAGUCUGGUGCCAGCAGCCGCGGUAAUUCCAGCUCCAAUAGUGUACAUCAAAAUUGUUGCACUUAAAACGCUCGUAGUUGGAUUGCAGUCCGUCAGCCAUGUUCAUCUAUUAAUGUUGACUGGUUACGGAAAAUUUUGCAGGACUCGUCAGGCUGCUUAACUGCAGUCUGUUGAAUAUCCUGCAGAGCGUGCCUUGAAUAAAGCAUAGUGCUCAAAACAGGCGCAAGCUCGAGUGUAAUAGCAUGGAACGAAUACACGCCACAUUUGUGGUUGAUUAAAAGGAACAUUAGAGGGCAUUAGUACUUGAUGGCGAGAGGUGAAAUUCUUAGACCCGUCAAAGACUGACUAUUGCGAAAGCAUUUGCCAAGAAUGUUUUCAUUAAUCAAGAACGAAAGUUAAAGGUUCGAAGACGAUCAGAUACCGUCCUAGUUUUAACUGUAAACUAUGCCAACAAGGAAUUAUCCUGCUUACAAGUUGGUUAGUUUCCACGCGAAAGCGAAAGUUUUCAGGCUGUGGGGAUAGUAUAGUUGCAAGGCUGAAAUUUCAAGAAAUUGACGGAGAGGCACCACCAGGAGUGGAGCCUGCGGCUUAAUUUGACUCAACACGGGGCAACUUACCAGGUCCAGACAUCGGAAGGAUUGACAGACUGACUAGAUCUUUCAUAAUUCGAUGAUUGGUGGUGCAUGGCCGUUCUUAGUUGGUGGAGUGAUCUGUCAGGUUAAUUCCGGUAACGAACGAGAUUUUGGUCCCUAUUUUCCUUCUCUUCCAGUUAAGAGUGAUUAGGGAGACUUUACUUGCAAAAGUAAGGAAGUAAAGCAAUAACAGGUCUGUGAUGCCCUUCGAUGUCCUGGGCUGCACGCGCGCUACAAUGAAAACUGCAAAAAGUUUCUGUUCCGAGAGGGAUGGGUAACCUUGUAAAUGUUUUCAUGCUAUGGAUUGAGCCUUGUAAUUAUUGCUCAUGAAAGAGGAAUUCCUUGUAAGCGCGAGUCACCAGCUCGUGUUGAAUACGUCUCUGCCUCUUGUACACACCGCCCGUCGCUACUACCGAUUGAAUCUAUUUCCAAGAAGUUUGGAUUUUUUUGGCAUUUAUGCUGAGAGAGAGAA
Molecule: ribosomal RNA, 1601 nt
Filed under: Ceratomyxa vermiformis
Lineage: Eukaryota; Metazoa; Cnidaria; Myxozoa; Bivalvulida; Ceratomyxidae
Description: SSU rRNA
Rfam family: Eukaryotic small subunit ribosomal RNA
Source: RNAcentral